GACGUCGAAUAUCGACGCCAUAAACACCAAAGUUGACCGUGUUUAUGACGUCGAAUAUCGACGUCAUAAACACCAAAGUUGACGUGUUUAUGAAUAUCGACGUCAUAAACACCAAAGUUGAUCGUGUUUAUGACGUCGAAUAUCGACGUCAUAAACACCAAAGUUGAUCGUGUUUAUGACGUCGAAUAUCGACGUC
Molecule: non-coding RNA, 196 nt
Organism: Paramuricea clavata
Lineage: Eukaryota; Metazoa; Cnidaria; Anthozoa; Malacalcyonacea; Plexauridae
Source: the annotation of a GenBank genome assembly